CCGACCUGCAGCUUCCCCGUCAGAUCUUCAUGAUGAUGACGAUGAUGAAGACGGGUCAUUUUGCUCUCCUCCUCACAGGAGUUUCCAUGGCGAUCCAGAUCCACCAGUCUCCUCCCGCUCUCCUGAAGGAGGCGGGAGGAGACGUCCAGCUGGUCUGCAGCCACCAGCAGUCGGACUUCAGAGUGAUGCUGUGGUACCAACAGCCGCCGGGCAGCGCCGCCAUGAAGCUGGUGGGGUACGGAUACGUGGAGUUCAGGGACGACGCCGUGGAGGAGGCCUUCAAAGGGCACUUCAGUUUAGCAGGAGAGCUCAGCGGAGACAAACACAAGAACGCCUCGCUCUUCAUCAGGAACCUCCAAGCGCCGGAACACACCGCCACGUACUUCUGUGCAGCCAGCAAACCACAGUUUAUCAAACAUCCACCUGCUGCUGACAAAAACCUCCAACCUGCUGAAGCGCGAGAGGAUCUGAGGUUCUCCAGCCUCAAAAUGAGGAUCUGAGGUUCUCCAGCCUCAACGAGAGGAUCUGAGGUUCUCCAGCCUCAAUGAGAGGAUCUGAGGUUCUCCAGCCUCAAUGAGAGGAUCUGAGGUUCUCCAGCUUCAACGAGAGGAUCUGAGGUUCUCCAGCCUCAACGAGAGGAUCAGCGGUUCUCCAGCCUCAACGAGAGGA
Oryzias melastigma (Indian medaka) is the source of this 669-nucleotide non-coding RNA. NCBI's taxonomy places the organism in Eukaryota, Metazoa, Chordata, Actinopteri, Beloniformes, Adrianichthyidae. The record is from the annotation of a RefSeq genome assembly.